UACGGAGGGUGCAAGCAUUAAUCGGAUUUAUUGGGCGUAAAGGGCGCGUAGGCGGUCGUAUAAGUCAGAUGUGAAAUCCCGGGGCUCAACCCCCGGAACAGCAUUUGAAACUAUACGUCUAGAGGGUAGGCGGAGAAAACGGAACUCCACAUGUAGCGGUGAAAUGCGUAGAUAUGUGGAAGAACACCGGUGGCGAAGGCGGUUUUCUAAGCUUAUUCCUGACGCUGAGGCGCGAAAGCA
This 240-nucleotide ribosomal RNA is filed under the name uncultured bacterium. RNAcentral's name for it is "partial 16S ribosomal RNA". It matches the Rfam family "Bacterial small subunit ribosomal RNA", at positions 524 to 761 of the family's 1533-position model. The record is from RNAcentral.